RNAcentral lists this ribosomal RNA (464 nucleotides) under uncultured bacterium. Its description in RNAcentral is "partial 16S ribosomal RNA". It matches the Rfam family "Bacterial small subunit ribosomal RNA", at positions 29 to 523 of the family's 1533-position model. The record is from RNAcentral.
AACGAACGCUGGCGGCAUGCUUAACACAUGCAAGUUGACCGCAGAAUAGGGCUUCGGCUCUAUUGCUGAGUAGCAAACGGGUGAGUAACGCGUGGGAAUCUACCUUCUUGUGGGGGAUAACUAAGGGAAACUUUAGCUAAUACCGCAUACGCUCUACGGAGGAAAGGCUUCGGCCGCAAGAAGAGGAGCCCGCGUCAGAUUAGGUAGUUGGUGGGGUAAAAGCCUACCAAGGCAAUGAUCUGUAGCUGGUCUGAGAGGAGGAUCAGCCACACUGGGACUGAGACACGGCCCAGACUCCUACGGGAGGCAGCAGUGGGGAAUAUUGGACAAUGGGGGAAAACCUGAUCCAGCAAUGCCGCGUGAAUGAAGAAGGCCUUAGGGUUGUAAAGUUCUUUCACCUGUGAAGAUAAUGACGGUAGCAGGAGAAGAAGCCCCGGCUAACACCGUGCCAGCCGCCGCCGUAA